Long non-coding RNA from Felis catus (domestic cat), 3594 nucleotides. RefSeq lists it as uncharacterized. The transcript has 2 exons. NCBI's taxonomy places the organism in Eukaryota, Metazoa, Chordata, Mammalia, Carnivora, Felidae. The record is from RefSeq and is a predicted model, not a curated record.
UUCAUCCCUUGUCUCUUAAAGUCUUCAUAUGAGUGAGGUCAUGAUUUUUGUGUUUCUCUGACUAAUUUCACUUACCAUAAUAUCCUCCAGUUCCAUGCAUGUAACGGCAAAUGGCAAGAUUUCCUUUAAUUUGAUAAACACAGUCGUUUCUUCCUGGCGGGAGGUAAGAGGAUGUUCACAGGUCUCUCUCUGAAACCUAGCCAUCCAUUGAGGAAAUCCCAAGCGUCUGGAGGGAUCCGUGUGUAACGCGAUGAAGAAUAAAAACGUAGGAGGACGUCUGCCGCCAGGGCAAGUCGUCAGGCGUGCAGACCUUUUCAGGACUCCAGGACAUCCUCCCACACUUCACACGGCUUUGUGAAGAAAUCCGAAGGAGGCAAGGAGGAAGUGCAUUUGACUAACCAAAUAGCUCAACGGUUUUUCAGACAAAUUGAGAAAAUACAGAAAAUAAGUUUCCAAAGAUUUAUAGCUGCAUAAAGUUUUCUCUUCGUGCCAACAGAAAUCAUUGCUGCAACCUGCCAGCAUACAUCUCCUCAUGGCCUCCAGUCUUUGUUCCUUGUAAAUGAGGACUUUGCUACAAGCGAAAAAAUCUAUUACUGUGAGUUAAACACAUACACAAGCAAAAUCACACAUGCACACACACCCACGCACCCACCCACCCACACAAACACAAAAGGGCCACCUGAGUGACUAACCAGAUUAAGCGUCCAACUUUCGACUCAGGUCAUGAUCUCGAGGUUUGUGGGUUCGAGCCCUGAGUCCACCUCUGGGCUGGAAGCUGGAAGCCUGAAGACUGCUUCUGAUUCUGUGUCUCCCUCUCUCUCUGCUCCUCCCCUUCUCACAUCUUAACUCCCUCUCUCAAAAAUAAAUAGAUAUGAAAAUAUAUACAUAACCCAAAGAAAUCUCUGUGAAGGGACCGUGAUGCAGCUGGGAUACAAGCAGAGCACAGGGACCGCUGUCUGGAUUAGAGCAGUGUGGCUCGGGGAGCAAGGCAGAAACCAGCUGCAUUCCUCAUGAACGGUCACUGCGACUGCAGAGAGACCAAGACACCAAUUCAUCAAGCCACCGACUCCCCACCGACUCCCACAAAUGAUACACCAACCUCGACAGGCACUGCAUUGUUACGAAUUACAGAGUAGAGAAAUCAAGUCCUCUCUUCCCCUAGAAACCAGCCAGUGCCAAGCACGCACCGCUUACCUCUGUGAGCAACUCUGUCACACUCAAGAACCACAGGUCCCCCGAGCAUCCCAUCUACACAUCCAUCUGGUCAAGCAUGUCACCGAGGCCGGCCCAGGCUCAAGGGGAGGCCUUAGACUCCACCUCUCAAAGGGAGUUGGAGACAAGCAACUACCUCCCAUCGUGACUUUGAUGUCAUCAUAGGCCACGUUUCAGCAGGUCUAAGACGUCACCGCUUGUAGGAAGCAUCCUGAUGUCACACGAAUCAAAAUGUGAAAGCAAGGUCAAGAUGGAAUCGUGACGUGUAGACUUGCACAUUGAUUUGUGAUUGGAAACGUGUCUCCGCUGCCGGUGCAGCUCAAAGUUUGAACCCGGGCUACCUUACGUUCCAAAGUGAGGGCCAGGGAGCAGUCGUUCCAGGCUGAGACCAUCUAUCGCAUGGAGGGGAUCCCUAAACAACUACUAACGUUUUCUAUUCUAGAAACUUCUGCACAAAUGCCAAAGGAAGAUGUACAGUAAACCCUCAUGAAUCCAUCACCCAUCUUCCACCAGUAUCAACCCACAUGGUCUCUUAAUCAUUGAUGCUUACCCUGAUAUAACCCAGGGCGUAGAAUUCCCAGAGAGUGGGUGAGUUCACGUGUAAAUCCCGGGGCAUACGGUGACACCGUUUGCCCUUUCUGUUGUCCUCCUUGCAAUCCACGUGGCUGAGUGAUACAUAUCGCUUUAUUACCUAGAUGCCACUGGGUAAAUCUGAAGUGGAUGUGCCAGGGCUCACACUGAGCACACGUGAGUUAGCAGCUCAGAUCCCCUCAGCACCAGUGGAGAAAGGUUCUGUUCGCCUCCUCUAAGGACGGCUGGCCGGACGCACUGAAAACAAUCCAAGCAAGUGGGGCGGCAGCCACCAUUUGCGCAGGAGAGGCUGACCUACCCUCUAACUGCUGGAUGUGCUCUGGUGUGUGUGCCCCGAAACCCUGUGGGCGGCCACCAUGCCCAUGGCUCACAGCGGACGGAGGCCUUGGAGGCGGCACAGUGGGACACAGGCCUCCCUGCGCCUGGCCCUCACCACAGCCCAGCCUGGCUGGCAUCCUGGCGUCCAGACCUGAUGCUGCUUCCUCUCACGUGUGGGCAGGGUGGUUUCCUCUUGCAUCGCUGUCUCCCCCGCACGUCCUAGUGCCUUUCCAGACUGGUUCCUGUCUCAGGGGUCCCUGAAAGUGCCUUCUACCAAAGCAGAGAACACUCACCCUCACCAGGCACACGCACGCUCGUGGCUAGGAGAGGCCCAGCACACUCGAGUGAGAUCAACCGGCAGUAAUCCUGAUACAUGCCAGGGGUCCUCUUGACUAAUUUCCAUCUUCCACUUUCUGCCUGGACAGUCUAGGGCCUGUCGUGUGACCCAAGAGUCCUCUUCCCCGUGGGAGGGCUGGGCCCGUCCUCCCCACCCUGAUGCCUCCGGGGUAGGACCGGGCAGAGCAGGCCUUCUCCAGAAACAGGUGGACUGGGGAGGUGGUCCCGUCUAUGUCCAAAUCUCUGGAACCUGUGCAUGUGACUUUAUUUGGAAAAGCAGUCUUUGUAAGUGCAGCUACGUGGAGGACCUGGAGACCACCCUGGACUCCCUGGGGAGGGGGCUGGGAAGUACACGGAUGAAUGUUCUUAAAAGAGGAGUCAGGUAAGAUACAGCGAGAAGGGACAGGGCACGGGGGCCAGCAAGCACCGAAGCCGGGCAGGAUGGAGCCUCCCUGCUCCCGCUGAAAUCUGCCCACGCACCGGGUGGUGUGGACACAGCGCUGCCCUCAAGUCAGGACUGGGAAAGGUGCCGCAGGAAGACAAGGAGGAGAAUCAGCAGAAUCCACGCCACUUCUUCCCACCGAGGACUCAAGCGACAGGGGGGUAAGACAAAGCAGAACGUCAGAGAUGUUGAGAAACACCAUCAAGUGAAGCCACAUCAUCAGGAAGGAGGCAACAACUCUCUUGGGCGUGCGCCUGCUGCCCCUCUGCAGGGGCCAUGGGGACAGACCCCUCCCGGUACCGCGGAGCACCCACCUGGGAGGUGGCAGGACUCGGCCAGCAAAAGGCGAGGAGGAAAGUGUGAAGUCACAAUUACAUUCAGAACACUCGACGUGACACACAAGAAAGGACAUUAAGGGCAGCAGUGAGGAGGGUAGAGUGGCCUCAAGGAGGAGCGUGUAGCGGUAGCAGAGUCAAGGGUAUUCGGUGGGACCUGCCGGGUCUGUGCAAAGGCCUGCAAGCCCCGGAACAUUCAGUAUGGGGCGAGCACAGCCAAGGAUGGCUAACGCGUGUUCUCAGAGAGGCCACACCCCUCGGACAUCUGCUCGGUGCUUGGUCUGUUUCUCAACUGACAUUUCUUUUUUAAGCAUAAUUGGAUUCACCAAAUCAAGUUUUAAUAAACCGUGUGCAACCUAA